Molecule: ribosomal RNA, 381 nt
Filed under: uncultured bacterium
Lineage: Bacteria
Description: bacterial SSU rRNA
Rfam family: Bacterial small subunit ribosomal RNA
Source: RNAcentral
GAUUAACGCUGGCGGCGUGCCUAACACAUGCAAGUCGAACGAGGUAGCAAUACCUAGUGGCAGACGGGUGAGUAACGCGUGGUCAACCUACCGUUGAGUGGGGGAUAACUAGCCGAAAGGUUAGCUAAUACCGCAUACGUCUCCGAGGGGCAUCCCUUGGCGAUAAAAGGAGCAAUCCGCUCGAUGACGGGACCGCGUCCCAUUAGCUAGAUGGUGGGGUAACGGCCUACCAUGGCACCGAUGGGUAGCUGGUUUGAGAGAGCGACCAGCCACACUGGGACUGAGAAACGGCCCAGACUCCUACGGGAGGCAGCAGUGAGGAAUUUUCCGCAAUGGGCGCAAGCCUGACGGAGCGACGCCGCGUGUGGGAAGAAGGCCUUC